Molecule: long non-coding RNA, 1270 nt
Filed under: Fragaria vesca (wild strawberry)
Lineage: Eukaryota; Viridiplantae; Streptophyta; Magnoliopsida; Rosales; Rosaceae
Description: long non-coding RNA (FVES_LNC002607)
Source: RNAcentral
CUCUCUUCUUUCUUACCUCUUAUCUUCUUCCUCUUCGUUUAUUUCUCUUCUCUCAUCUUUAUCGGAAAGGAAAAAAAAAAAAAAAUCAAUCUGGCUAUCACAAAAAAAUUCCUCCAUCUCAUAGAAACCAUCGAUCCUCAUCUAAUUAAUUGUCCUCGCAGGUGAUCAAGGGAUUCGAGGGGAACCAUCUGCUGUUUCUUGCUCCGGUGACUUGGUGAAGGCAAUCGCGAAGCAGGGAAAGCUGGAUCUGAGAAUUGAAAAUUGAAUGGGUUCAUUUUUCUCAUGUUUUGGUUGUUUUCAUGCAGUGAGGCUGGAUUCUGGUUGUUUUCAUGCAGUGAGGCUGGAUUCGACUUGAUGUCAGUAGUAUGAUAUCCGAUUUAAGACAGAAAUCAUUUCUUUGCUAGCUAUAUGCAUUUCAAUCUGCUUCCAUGUGAAUACAACUUUUUUGAUUUUGAAAGAUGUGAUCUGAUCUAGUGAUCUUGUUCUCUAACCAUCUGCCCUUUGGUUUUCUGUAUGCGAGGAUCAUCAUCAUGAUUCACGCCAAGUUGAACAGGAAGAACUUCAACCAAAUCGACCCUAUCAGAAUUUGAUUUGAGCGUUUCAAAUGAAGAAUGGAUCUAUGCUUUUCAUCUGUAAUUGAACCAGUCCUGGCAAUGCUCUGUGUAAAAUAUAUUGUUUGAGAAGUUUUUUUGAGGAGCAGACCCGGCAAUAUAAAUAUAUAUAUAUAUAUAUAUAUAUAUAUUAUUUUUUACAAAAUAUUGGACCCAAAAAUUAAACAAGGGGCCCCAAAAAAUUUCCCGCAUUGGGCCUCAAAUCUUUCAGGGCUGGCCCUGCCAGUAACCCAGUUAUUAUAACCCCAAGUCUAAAACACAAACCUAAAUUCAAAAUCUAUGCCCAACACCAAUUGAUCUAGUGACAUAAGUCUCAUCUUAUUAGAAUGUUAGUGAAAUGUUAUGAGUUCGACUCAUAGUGUUAUAACACAGUAGCACAUUUAAUCAAAAAAGAAAUUCAAAAUCUAGAAGAAGAAAAAAAAAACAUGUUAGAACAUCUCCAAUGUGAGGAAGUUGCUAGAGUUAAAGCAUUAUUUUGUUUUUUUUUUUUUCUAAAGAUUUUGGCUUUUGUUUUCUCAUUUAGACCUAGUAUGAAACAACUUCGUUUUUAGAAAAAUAAACUUGUAUAUGAACUUUUAAAUUUAAUAGUGUUUGGUAAUAAAAAAAAACAUACAUUUUUUAAAAUUACAGUGGUGGCACCAUCGUCAGCGUUCUGAAUC